This 543-nucleotide small RNA is filed under the name uncultured fungus. RNAcentral's name for it is "eukaryotic LSU rRNA". The stretch from base 196 to 349 matches the Rfam family "5.8S ribosomal RNA". Lineage: Eukaryota; Fungi. The record is from RNAcentral.
GAGUUCAUGCCCCCUGGGGUAGACCUCCCACCCUGUGUUAUUUACUCUUGUUGCUUUGGUAGGAUGGUUGAGGACUGGAGCCGCUCGUAAAACAGUGGCGAUAGUGAUCUUCCUUCAGCGUUGUAACAGGCGCUCCUGCCAGAGGCCCCCUAAUACUUUUAAUUAAUGUCGUCUGAGUACUAUAAAAUAAGUUAAAACUUUCAACAACGGAUCUCUUGGUUCUGGCAUCGAUGAAGAACGCAGCGAAAUGCGAUAAGUAAUGUGAAUUGCAGAAUUCAGUGAAUCAUCGAAUCUUUGAACGCACAUUGCGCCCCUUGGUAUUCCGGGGGGCAUGCCUGUUCGAGCGUCAUUUCAACCCUCAAGCUCAGCUUGGUCUUGGGUCCUGCCGGCAACGGCUGGCCUUAAAAUUAGUGGCGGUGCCAUUGAGCUCUACGCGUAGUAAUUAAACCCUCGCUUUUGAGUCUUGGUGAACGCUUGCCAGCAACCCCCAAUUUUCUAUGGUUGACCUCGGAUCAGGUAGGGAUACCCGCUGAACUUAAGCAU